RNAcentral lists this ribosomal RNA (895 nucleotides) under uncultured bacterium. Its description in RNAcentral is "bacterial SSU rRNA". It matches the Rfam family "Bacterial small subunit ribosomal RNA", at positions 33 to 919 of the family's 1533-position model. The record is from RNAcentral.
ACGCUAGCUACAGGCUUAACACAUGCAAGUCGAGGGGAAACGGCAUUGAGUGCUUGCACUCUUUGGACGUCGACCGGCGCACGGGUGAGUGACGCGUAUCCAACCUUCCCAUUACUGUGGGAUAACCUGCCGAAAGGCAGACUAAUACCGCAUAGUCUUCGAUGACGGCAUCAGAUUUGAAGUAAAGAUUUAUCGGUAAUGGAUGGGGAUGCGUCUGAUUAGCUUGUUGGCGGGGUAACGGCCCACCAAGGCAACGAUCAGUAGGGGUUCUGAGAGGAAGGUCCCCCACAUUGGAACUGAGACACGGUCCAAACUCCUACGGGAGGCAGCAGUGAGGAAUAUUGGUCAAUGGACGGAAGUCUGAACCAGCCAAGUAGCGUGCAGGAUGACGGCCCUAUGGGUUGUAAACUGCUUUUGUAUGGGGAUAAAGUUAGGGACGUGUCCCUAUUUGCAGGUACCAUACGAAUAAGGACCGGCUAAUUCCGUGCCAGCAGCCGCGGUAAUACGGAAGGUCCAGGCGUUAUCCGGAUUUAUUGGGUUUAAAGGGAGCGUAGGCUGGAGAUUAAGUGUGUUGUGAGAUGUAGACGCUCAACGUCUGAAUUGCAGCGCAUACUGGUUUCCUUGAGUACGCACAACGUUGGCGGAAUUCGUCGUGUAGCGGUGAAAUGCUUAGAUAUGACGAAGAACUCCGAUUGCGAAGGCAGCUGACGGGAGCGCAACUGACGCUUAAGCUCGAAGGUGCGGGUAUCAAACAGGAUUAGAUACCCUGGUAGUCCGCACAGUAAACGAUGGAUGCCCGCUGUUGGUACCUGGUAUCAGCGGCUAAGCGAAAGCAUUAAGCAUCCCACCUGGGGAGUACGCCGGCAACGGUGAAACUCAAAGGAAUUGACGGGGG